Molecule: ribosomal RNA, 555 nt
Filed under: uncultured bacterium
Lineage: Bacteria
Description: partial 16S ribosomal RNA
Rfam family: Bacterial small subunit ribosomal RNA
Source: RNAcentral
UAGGGAAUAUUGGACAAUGGGCGAAAGCCUGAUCCAGCCAUGCCGCGUGUGUGAAGAAGGUCUUCGGAUUGUAAAGCACUUUAAGUUGGGAGGGAGGGCAGUAAAUUAAUACUUUGCUGUUUUGACGUUACCGACAGAAUAAGCACCGGCUAACUCUGUGCCAGCAGCCGCGGUAAUACAGAGGGUGCAAGCGUUAAUCGGAAUUACUGGGCGUAAAGCGCGCGUAGGUGGUUCGUUAAGUUGGAUGUGAAAUCCCCGGGCUCAACCUGGGAACUGCAUUCAAAACUGACGAGCUAGAGUAUGGUAGAGGGUGGUGGAAUUUCCUGUGUAGCGGUGAAAUGCGUAGAUAUAGGAAGGAACACCAGUGGCGAAGGCGACCACCUGGACUGAUACUGACACUGAGGUACGAAAGCGUGGGGAGCAAACAGGAUUAGAUACCCUGGUAGUCCACGCCGUAAACGAUGUCAAACUAGCCGUUGGGAGCCUUGAGCUCUUAGUGGCGCAGCUAACGCAUUAAGUUGACCGCCUGGGGAGUACGGCCGCAAGGUUAAAAGC